Molecule: long non-coding RNA, 438 nt
Organism: Cavia porcellus (domestic guinea pig)
Lineage: Eukaryota; Metazoa; Chordata; Mammalia; Rodentia; Caviidae
Exons: 2
Source: RefSeq, a predicted model, not a curated record
AUGAUCAUCACAAUCAUCACAAUUUUGUGGAAUGGGAGCUAUGCCUCCAGCAGUGAUCACCUUAUAGAAGAUAUAGACCUAGGUGGGAGUUAAGCCUUGAGGUCAUAACCAUCUUAUACUCCGGGAUGGCAUCUGAGCACAACUGUAUCCAUUUCCUAAGUCUCUCCAGACCUUCAGCACCCAUGCAGUCAUUAAGUGUGGGCAGGGUCAACAUCCCCUGAUGCGAGUAGACUGUGAUCCUAUUUCAGUAUUAACAGAAGGAGCCUGUGAGACACUCAUCUGGGAGGAGCUUGAACUGACUGUAUUCCAAGAUGUGAGUUUCUCUGAGAUCCCAGAGAAAAGACCUUUGUCUAAACUCAGCUACUGGAGCCUCAGCAGCUGGAUUGGUAUGGGGCAUGAGGAGUCACAUGUGUGAGGCCACUCAAAGAGGGUGGGCUC